This 1005-nucleotide ribosomal RNA is filed under the name Salmonella enterica. RNAcentral describes it as "bacterial SSU rRNA". It matches the Rfam family "Bacterial small subunit ribosomal RNA", at positions 1 to 995 of the family's 1533-position model. Lineage: Bacteria; Pseudomonadati; Pseudomonadota; Gammaproteobacteria; Enterobacterales; Enterobacteriaceae. RNAcentral also lists the same sequence under 2 other names. The record is from RNAcentral.
AAAUUGAAGAGUUUGAUCAUGGCUCAGAUUGAACGCUGGCGGCAGGCCUAACACAUGCAAGUCGAACGGUAACAGGAAGCAGCUUGCUGCUUUGCUGACGAGUGGCGGACGGGUGAGUAAUGUCUGGGAAACUGCCUGAUGGAGGGGGAUAACUACUGGAAACGGUGGCUAAUACCGCAUAACGUCGCAAGACCAAAGAGGGGGACCUUCGGGCCUCUUGCCAUCAGAUGUGCCCAGAUGGGAUUAGCUUGUUGGUGAGGUAACGGCUCACCAAGGCGACGAUCCCUAGCUGGUCUGAGAGGAUGACCAGCCACACUGGAACUGAGACACGGUCCAGACUCCUACGGGAGGCAGCAGUGGGGAAUAUUGCACAAUGGGCGCAAGCCUGAUGCAGCCAUGCCGCGUGUAUGAAGAAGGCCUUCGGGUUGUAAAGUACUUUCAGCGGGGAGGAAGGUGUUGUGGUUAAUAACCGCAGCAAUUGACGUUACCCGCAGAAGAAGCACCGGCUAACUCCGUGCCAGCAGCCGCGGUAAUACGGAGGGUGCAAGCGUUAAUCGGAAUUACUGGGCGUAAAGCGCACGCAGGCGGUCUGUCAAGUCGGAUGUGAAAUCCCCGGGCUCAACCUGGGAACUGCAUUCGAAACUGGCAGGCUUGAGUCUUGUAGAGGGGGGUAGAAUUCCAGGUGUAGCGGUGAAAUGCGUAGAGAUCUGGAGGAAUACCGGUGGCGAAGGCGGCCCCCUGGACAAAGACUGACGCUCAGGUGCGAAAGCGUGGGGAGCAAACAGGAUUAGAUACCCUGGUAGUCCACGCCGUAAACGAUGUCUACUUGGAGGUUGUGCCCUUGAGGCGUGGCUUCCGGAGCUAACGCGUUAAGUAGACCGCCUGGGGAGUACGGCCGCAAGGUUAAAACUCAAAUGAAUUGACGGGGGCCCGCACAAGCGGUGGAGCAUGUGGUUUAAUUCGAUGCAACGCGAAGAACCUUACCUGGUCUUGACAUCCACGGAA